GUUAUCGUGGCCGAGUGUUUAAGGCGAUGGACUAGAAAUCUUUUGGGAUCUUCCCGCGCAGGUUCGAAAUCUGCCGACAUCG
This 82-nucleotide transfer RNA is filed under the name Dreissena polymorpha. It matches the Rfam family "tRNA". From Rfam's summary of the family: Transfer RNA (tRNA) molecules are approximately 80 nucleotides in length. Their secondary structure includes four short double-helical elements and three loops (D, anti-codon, and T loops). Further hydrogen bonds mediate the characteristic L-shaped molecular structure. tRNAs have two regions of fundamental functional importance: the anti-codon, which is responsible for specific mRNA codon recognition, and the 3' end, to which the tRNAs corresponding amino acid is attached (by aminoacyl-tRNA synthetases). tRNAs cope with the degeneracy of the genetic code in two manners: having more than one tRNA (with a specific anti-codon) for a particular amino acid; and 'wobble' base-pairing, i.e. permitting non-standard base-pairing at the 3rd anti-codon position. The record is from Rfam by way of RNAcentral. Lineage: Eukaryota; Metazoa; Mollusca; Bivalvia; Myida; Dreissenidae.